Molecule: ribosomal RNA, 1276 nt
Filed under: Nitidulidae sp. BMNH 1274727
Lineage: Eukaryota; Metazoa; Arthropoda; Insecta; Coleoptera; Nitidulidae
Description: 16S ribosomal RNA
Rfam family: Archaeal large subunit ribosomal RNA (bases 1036-1194)
Source: RNAcentral
UUAUUUUUAUUAUUGUUUUUUGUAAUUUAAUUAAAAUAUUAUAGAUUUUAUUAUAGAAAUUGAACAAAUAUAUUUUAUUAUAGUGUAUUAGUAUUGUGAAAGAAAUUAAUUAUAUAUUAAAAAGAAAAAUUUAUUAUUUGUACCUUGUGUAUCAGGGUUGAUUAAAAAUUAAGCUUAUAUUUGCUAUUCUCGAAUCUAAAAGAGCUAAUAUAUUAUAUUUUUUACUGUAGAAUAAGUAUUAUACAUAAUAUAUUAGAAAUGAAACGUUAUUCGUUUUUAGAUAUAUCUAGUUUUUAAAGAAAAAAAUUUAAUUUGUUAAUUUUAUAUUAAUAUUUUAUAUUAUUAAGAUAUUUAUUAAAAUUAGUUAUAUUUUAAGGGAUAAGCUUUAAAAUAAAGUUUUAUAAAAAUUAUAUUUAUUUAUUAAUUGUAGGAUUAGAAUUUUUUAUCAUUAAAAAAAUGUUAUAAUUUAUUAUAGUUGAUUUAUUAUUUAUAUUAUUUUUAAUUUUUUUAUUUAAAUAUAGUUUUUAAUUAAAAAUAAUUAGAAAUUAUGAUUAAAUUAGUAUAAAAUUUUUUAAUAGUAAUUUAAUUUAUUAAGGUUUUUAAAAGGAAUUCGGCAAAUAUUUUUUUACCUGUUUAUUAAAAACAUGUCCUUUUGAUUUUUAUAUAAGGUCUAACCUGCCCAAUGAUUUUUAUUAAAUGGCCGCGGUAUCCUGACCGUGCAAAGGUAGCAUAAUCAUUAGUUUUUUAAUUGAAAGCUGGAAUGAAAGGUUGAAUAAGAGAAAUACUGUCUCUUAAAAAUUUUUAUUAGAAUUUUAUUUUUAAGUUAAAAAGCUUAAAUUUAAUUUAAAGACGAGAAGACCCUUUAGAGUUUUAUUUAAUAUUAUUAAUUUUUUUCUUUAGUAUUUACAUAUUUAAUUUAGUAAUUUAAAUUUGGUUGGGGUGAUUGAAAAAUUUAAUAAACUUUUUUUUUAUUUUUACAUUGAUAAAUGAAUUAAUGAUCCAAUAUUUUUGAUUAUAAGAAUAAAUUACCUAAGGGAUAACAGCGUUAUUUUUUUUGAGAGUUCUUAUCGAAAAAAAAGAUUGCGACCUCGAUGUUGGAUUAAAGUUAAAAUAUGGUGCAGAAGCUAUAUAUUUAGGUCUGUUCGACCUUUAAUACUUUACAUGAUCUGAGUUUAAACCGGUGUAAGCCAGGUUGGUUUCUAUCUUAAAUUUACUAUAAUAUUUUAGUACGAAAGGAUCAAGUAUUGAAUUAAUAAUUUUUAUAUUGAAUAUUAUU